UUACACUGUAAACCCGAAUUUUGCUGGUUUGUUAUCUUAACCUGUACCUCUUAAGACCCAUUCGCCCACAGGUGGGCGAUUUGUGUUUGUUGACCACAUGUUCCCACUACACAGCGACAUAACCCGCUUCAACUUUCAUCAUUACAGACAUUCUAUACAUCGUUAGAAAGGGUAGAAUCUCCACAAUUUAUUCAUCCGGUUUUUUUUUUUUAUAAAUCAUGAGCACAAAACCAUAAAUAUUGAUAUUAACCAGCAUGGUAAACCGGAAAUGCCAAUAAAACAGAGAGACUCCCUACCUUUGAAGCAAUCCGAGAACCGUAAUAUGUGUCCAUUCCUCAAUUAUUUAUAUUCCAAAUGUCCGUGAGAAUCCACUGAUCAAAAGCAUCCACAUGGUUUUUCAUAAAAUUAUUCCAGCUUGUGAAUAUUGUCGUGUAAAGUCCAUUUGUUUACCAUCUCCAAACUUUGUUCGUCAACUAACAUCCAGAUUUUCGAAGCCGCAUGGAUAUUUUCUCUACCUCCAGUAUGGAGUUGUUGGGUAUGCUUGUUUUCAUCACUUUGCUGGCUACAAAAUGAAAGUGUCCCCGUCUUUUUCUGUUCAGUUUUCACCCCGGUACAGCCCGUGAAGUAGAUGGAGCGCUCCCAGUUCGAAGGGCCAAUGGGCUUUGUUUACUUUGUUACGCGGCUUUAGUAUAGGGACAGCGUAUUGGCUAUUGAUAUAUCAGUCACUUGGGCUUCUAGCCAAUGAGUUUACCUUUCCAACGCUACCAGGCGUGUCCAGGUGUGAUACGUAUGAGCCGAGAUAUACAGCUGCGUCAUCACGGCAGACAACUCGCUUUGCGCAUGAGCGAGCCUCCAGCGGACCAGGACGCACGCCGCACACAUUGAUCACAUUGAUUUCGCCGUUUACAAUGGCGAAAUCAACGAAGAAAACGAAAUAUUACACACAUGAAGAAGCCCUCGCUUUGAUUUUGGCUUCAUCCGAGGACAGCGAAGACAGCCAAUAUGAUUCUGAGAUAGAGGAGAUGUUCAAGCAACAAUUGGACGACGUCUUAGAUCGGUCAAUGUCUGAGGACAGUGAUGCGGAUUGGGAGCCGCAAAGCCAGACAGGCAGACCCCCGGCCCCCACUCCUACUGAAGGUGGUCGUGAGAGAUCCGGUAGUGUCUCAUCACAUGACAAUAUCUCAAUAUGGCCAUAUCAAAUGAAUGUGUGAAAAAAUUAUGUUUUGAAUCAUGGAGAAAGGUUUUAUAGUCACCAAAAUGCUUCAGUAAUGUUUCCAGUGUCACAGAAGUGAGUAAAUGCAUUUGGCACAAUUUGGCCAUUUUGGAGACAUUUUGGAGAGGUUUGGGCCGCCAGUGACCACACACCAUAAAAACUCCAUUAACUCCCAAAGCUUUAGGCCUAGAACUCCAAAUUUUUUUCCAGGUGUAGUUGGCAUGAUGUAGAAGGUAUUUGGCAUAUUGCCAUAUGCCUUACAUAAAGCACAUCCUAGUUAUUGUAGUUCAAAUAUGACCCAUUAUUUUCGAAGACAAAAAAAUUGCUUUAGAGCCAUGUCUGAACUGAUGUCAUUUAGGUUGUGUGUAUGACACAUGCCAAAUAAACAUAUCUACAGAAACUAGAGCUAGGGUUACUGUGUUAUAAGCUUUUCCAUUUGGGUAUGUGUUUAGGCGAAAAAAAACAAAAUACUGCCGGGCCUUAACCUGUUAAUAUGUUAUGGGUGCAACCAGGAAGGACAUACUAAGAGAAAUUGUUUUACUAACCCUUUUCCAUCCCAGCAAGAACAGGGCAACGGUUAUCAGGGGAGGCAAGAUCAAGGGAACUACAACCAGGGACAGCAGGGUCCCUUCAUGGGUCAGGGAUACUAGGGGUGCCCAGAGAAUCCACAGGGGGAGGGUCAGCUUGUAGCAAUCACAAAACAAGCUGAUGAGGAACCAAUACUGCAGGUUCUGAUAAAUUAUAGAGGCAUGCCAAUGAUGGCCCACACUGGAGCCACUAACACUUGCGUAGGUCCAAAUUAUGCCUCUCACCUCCCCAUGGCAGGAAAAUUCACCAAAACUUUAGGAUUCUCGGAACACACGCAGUUAAUACCUAUGACAGCUCCAAGUCAUAGGUAUAGCUCCAUUCUUAUUUUAAGUUGUAUAUGUGAGCGAAUGAGUGAGGAGUGAGUGAGUGAGUGAGAAAGAGUUACAUUGAGUUGAGUUAGAGGGGUCAGAUGAAGUGAUUUGUGAAGAGUGAGAGAGAAGAGGAAGAGUGUGUGGAUUGGCAACGAGAAGUGGCGAUGAGAUUGGAGAAGGCUUUCCGGUUAGAAUUUUCUUUGGGAGAAUGAUAUCUUUCGAUG
Molecule: long non-coding RNA, 2336 nt
Organism: Gadus morhua (Atlantic cod)
Lineage: Eukaryota; Metazoa; Chordata; Actinopteri; Gadiformes; Gadidae
Source: Ensembl